ACUCGAGGGACAUUGUUCCAGCUAAUGAUUAAGAACUCUCCAGACAAUAGGGGCUUCUUAGACAAUGGGUGAAUUUCCAGGAUGUCCGGCCCCCUUCCGAGAAGGAAGGAGAUAAACAAAAUAGGUGUCUGUCAAAGACCAAUCAGGCAGCUGGGGACAAGUUCCCUCUCUGGUCCGAGCCUAAGCCGGGACCAAUCAGCAGGAGAACACAACCAAAUCUAUAAUUUACAUACGGGGAAGUGGGAACCUAUAAAACUGACAUAUUCGCGCCCAAAAGGGUUCCUUCUUCGACCUCCUGCGUGAGGACCAAGGAACCCCGGUGCACCGGCCUUCAAUAAACCUCUUGCGUUUUGCAUCGA
Long non-coding RNA from Orcinus orca (killer whale), 359 nucleotides. RefSeq lists it as uncharacterized. The record is from RefSeq and is a predicted model, not a curated record. The transcript is spliced from 2 exons. Lineage: Eukaryota; Metazoa; Chordata; Mammalia; Artiodactyla; Delphinidae.